AACGCACCUUGCGCUCCCUGGUAUUCCGGGGAGCAUGCCUGUUUGAGUGUCGUGAAAUCAUCAUGGUCAUGAUCUUUAAUUAAUCAUGGCUUGGUUUUGGAGGUUAUGUUGGCUUUUUAUUAAGUUGACUCCUCUUAAAUACAUUAGCUCAGUGUUUAAUGCUUAGAGCGGUUCACGGUGUGAUAAUUAUCUACGCCGUGGACUAUUUGCCGUUUUUAGCACUGCUUAUAAUCGUCUGUUCAUUCGGACAAUAUAUGACAAUUUGACCUCAAAUCAGGUAGGACUACCCGCUGAACUUAA
RNAcentral lists this ribosomal RNA (300 nucleotides) under uncultured fungus. RNAcentral's name for it is "eukaryotic LSU rRNA". The stretch from base 1 to 52 matches the Rfam family "5.8S ribosomal RNA", at positions 103 to 154 of the family's 154-position model. Lineage: Eukaryota; Fungi. The record is from RNAcentral.